Molecule: ribosomal RNA, 496 nt
Filed under: uncultured bacterium
Lineage: Bacteria
Description: bacterial SSU rRNA
Rfam family: Bacterial small subunit ribosomal RNA
Source: RNAcentral
AAAUGAAUAGACGGGGACCCGCACAAGCAGCGGAGCAUGUGGUUUAAUUCGAUGCAACGCGAAGAACCUUACCAGGGCUUGACAUCCCCCGGACAGGAUUAGAGACAAUCCCUUUUCUUCGGAAACCGGGGAGACAGGUGGUGCAUGGUUGUCGUCAGCUCGUGUCGUGAGAUGUUGGGUUAAGUCCCGCAACGAGCGCAACCCCUGCCUUUAGUUGCAAACAGUUAGGCUGAGCACUCUAAAGGGACUGCCGAUGACAAAUCGGAGGAAGGUGGGGAUGACGUCAAAUCAUCAUGCCCUAUAUGUCCUGGGCUACACACGUGCUACAAUGGUCGGUACAACGGGUAGCUACUCAGCGAUGGGAAGCCAAUCCCUUAAAGCCGAUCCCAGUUCGGAUUGCAGGCUGCAACUCGCCUGCAUGAAGUCGGAGUUGCUAGUAAUCGCGAAUCAGCAUGUCGCGGUGAAUGCGUUCCCGGGUCUUGUACACACCGCCCGU